GGCUCACCCAUGUCAUUAGAUAAAUCAGUUUGACUGAUUUAGGUGCUCCUAAUGCUGGCUUAAUUAAAUUUUUUUUAAUCUGACUUGGUGAAGUCAGUGGAAGGAUUGAAAUUGGCUGGUAAGUUAUCUUCUCAUCUAUUCUUUAAUAAAAUCCUCAAAAAUUAUUAGGUCCUAAAAAUGAUUAAGUUAUAUUGAUAACUAAGUCAUAGCCUCCCAUUAAGUGAGUCAUAAUGAGUCCAUUAGUUUAAUAAUCAUUGGAGGCCCAAAGGCCUGGUGCUUAUUGACUAAUGAAAUUAUCAUUCAUAGUAUGAUAAUUUGGUUUGAGUCUUUCUGAUGGUGGUUAGGUUGGCCGACCAAAGUCGGGCUUGAUCAUUUAUUGGUCCGAUUCACCAAAUCAAAUCAUGUUAAUGGUUGGACCUAACCAGAUUUUUUCAGUGGAGGCCAAAGCCUACUGAUUAGGUUCUGGGGCAAAAUUAAUUACUAGAAGUUGUUUAGAGAAACAACUGAUUAUGAACCUACCCAUAGAUGCACAUGGGUUGACCAACCAAAGUUGGGCUCGUGUGUAGUCUGUGUGAAUUCUAGUACCCACUAAGGAAUUAAAGUAAUUCCU
RNAcentral lists this long non-coding RNA (610 nucleotides) under Elaeis guineensis (African oil palm). RNAcentral describes it as "long non-coding RNA (EGUI_LNC047930)". The record is from RNAcentral. Lineage: Eukaryota; Viridiplantae; Streptophyta; Magnoliopsida; Arecales; Arecaceae.